RNAcentral lists this ribosomal RNA (392 nucleotides) under uncultured bacterium. Its description in RNAcentral is "bacterial SSU rRNA". It matches the Rfam family "Bacterial small subunit ribosomal RNA", at positions 28 to 420 of the family's 1533-position model. The record is from RNAcentral.
GACGAACGCUGGCGGCGUGCUUAACACAUGCAAGUCGAGCGGUAAGGCCCUUUCGGGGGUACGACGAGCGGCGAACGGGUGAGUAACACGUGGGUGACCUGCCCUCAGCUCUGGGAUAAGCCUGGGAAACCGGGUCUAAUACUGGAUAUGACUCCAUGACGCAUGUUGUGGGGUGGAAAGCCUUGUGCGGCUGAGGAUGGGCCCGCGGCCUAUCAGCUUGUUGGUGGGGUGAUGGCCUACCAAGGCGACGACGGGUAGCCGGCCUGAGAGGGCGACCGGCCACACUGGGACUGAGACACGGCCCAGACUCCUACGGGAGGCAGCAGUGGGGAAUCUUGCGCAAUGGGCGAAAGCCUGACGCAGCGACGCCGCGUGAGGGAUGACGGCCUGGU